GCGGGUGUGGCGAAGUUGGUAGCCGCGCGAGUCUCAGGUACUCGUGGUCGAAAGGCCGGGGAGGUUCGAAUCCUCUCACCCGCA
RNAcentral lists this transfer RNA (84 nucleotides) under Caulobacter phage CcrSC. Its description in RNAcentral is "tRNA-Leu". It matches the Rfam family "tRNA". Rfam says of the family: Transfer RNA (tRNA) molecules are approximately 80 nucleotides in length. Their secondary structure includes four short double-helical elements and three loops (D, anti-codon, and T loops). RNAcentral also lists the same sequence under 6 other names. The record is from RNAcentral. Lineage: Duplodnaviria; Heunggongvirae; Uroviricota; Caudoviricetes; Jeanschmidtviridae.